GCGUGAGUGAUGAAGGCCCUAGGGUCGUAAAGCUCUUUCGCCAGAGAUGAUAAUGACAGUAUCUGGUAAAGAAACCCCGGCUAACUCCGUGCCAGCAGCCGCGGUAAUACGGAGGGGGUUAGCGUUGUUCGGAAUUACUGGGCGUAAAGCGCACGUAGGCGGAUCAGAAAGUAUGAGGUGAAAUCCCGGGGCUCAACCCCGGAACUGCCUUGUAAACUCCUGGUCUUGAGUUCGAGAGAGGUGAGUGGAAUUCCGAGUGUAGAGGUGAAAUUCGU
RNAcentral lists this ribosomal RNA (275 nucleotides) under uncultured bacterium. RNAcentral's name for it is "partial 16S ribosomal RNA". It matches the Rfam family "Bacterial small subunit ribosomal RNA", at positions 399 to 691 of the family's 1533-position model. The record is from RNAcentral.